This is an RNA transcript of Salvia hispanica, 963 nucleotides long. RefSeq lists it as uncharacterized. The record is from RefSeq and is a predicted model, not a curated record. Lineage: Eukaryota; Viridiplantae; Streptophyta; Magnoliopsida; Lamiales; Lamiaceae.
CGAAUUGUGCUUGCCACACUGCUCGCAGAUUUGCGAGCACAAUUAGUGGUGCUUGCAAAAUUGCGUUUUUUCAUCUAUACUUUUCUAGUAAACGAAUUGUGCUUGCUCCCUACCUGCAGAUUUGCCAGCACAAUUAAUGGUGCUUGCAAAAUUAUUACUACUAGUAAUUCUUAUCCAGAUGCAUCUUCCUCAGUGAAAUAAUGGGCCGCAAACCUUUCACUGAAAAUACUUCUCAAAAUUUCUCACCGCCUAAUUCUCACCGCCAGUCUCCCUCCCUAAACAAACCCUAAACCUCCCCUCUCUCGUAUCAUCUCUCACUAAACCAUGUGCUGCGCUCUGAUUCAUUUCAUCCAUGCGCCUUCGAACAGUUAUCAGCGGCGAGAUUCAAUCGGAGGAUCAAAUGCUGCCGCGCAAAGCUUCUCGAAGAGCAGAUUGUUUGAAAAAUAUUUUGAGAUAAUUUGUUGCAUUUAAUGUGUGAGUGAACUAGAUCCUGUGAAGCCGAGACUCUGGGGCUGCCAACUGUGUGAAUACUACAAAAUCCUCAAUCGGUUUACACACUUAUCUGAUUUCUAGAUUUGUUUACUUCUGUGUGAAUUGUAACGAUGUGAAAAACUUGGAGAAGUUUUCAAAGGGAAACCAAAUUUGAUUUUUGAGCUCACUGAUUUUAGUUCUCAGGGGAGAUUUCAUUUUGAAGUUGGUAAUAGCAGGAAAUCAAAAAAUUGCUGGAGCUGGUCCGUAGUCAACAAGUUCAAGAGAGGAGGAGAAGAAGUGCAUAGAUUUAGGGAGUGUUAGGUUUGACUUCUAUGUUUAUGGAAGAAAAGGGAGGUUUUUUUUUCUAUUCUAGUUUCAUGGUGUGCAAGUUAUGAAACAGUGACAGUUAUCAUUUUGGAAUAUUCAAAUCAUUCGUUUGGUUUGAAGUGUAAAACAAUAUUUUUAAUUUUAUGUAGAAUUUAAAUUUUGUCA